AGCGGGGUGGGGUAGCCAGGAAAUCCCAUCGGGCUCAUAACCCGAAGAUCAGUCGUUCAAACCGAAGACGGGCGU
Molecule: transfer RNA, 75 nt
Filed under: Candidatus Proteinoplasmatales archaeon SG8-5
Lineage: Archaea; Methanobacteriati; Methanobacteriota; Candidatus Proteinoplasmatales
Description: Euryarchaeota archaeon SG8-5 tRNA-Met
Source: RNAcentral